CUACGGGUGGCUGCAGUGGGGAAUAUUGGACAAUGGGGGAAACCCUGAUCCAGCAAUGCCGCGUGUGUGAAGAAGGCCUGCGGGUUGUAAAGCACUUUCGGUUGGGAGGACUGCUUCUAGCACUAAUAUUGUUGGAAGUUGACGUUACCUUCAGAAGAAGCACCGGCUAGCUCCGUGCCAGCAGCCGCGGUAAUACGGAGGGUGGCAAGCGUUAAUCGGAAUUACUGGGCGUAAAGCGCGCGUAGGCGGCUAGAUCAGUCGGGUGUGAAAGCCCCGGGCUUAACCUGGGAACUGCAUCCGAUACUGUCUAGCUUGAGUACAGGGGGGGAGAGUGGAAUUCCACAUGUAGCGGUGAAAUGCGUAGAUAUGUGGAGGAACACCAAUGGCGAAGGCAGCUCUCUGGCCUGAUACUGACGCUGAGGUGCGAAAGCGUGGGGAGCAAACAGGAUUAGAUACCCUCGUAGUC
RNAcentral lists this ribosomal RNA (466 nucleotides) under uncultured bacterium. Its description in RNAcentral is "partial 16S ribosomal RNA". It matches the Rfam family "Bacterial small subunit ribosomal RNA", at positions 339 to 795 of the family's 1533-position model. The record is from RNAcentral.